UACGGAGGGUGCGAACGUUAAUCGGAAUCACUGGGCGUAAAGCGCGCGUAGGCGGUUUGUUAAGUGGGAUGUGAAAUCCCCGGGCUUAACCUGGGAAUUGCAUUUCAAACUGGCCGACUAGAGUACGGUAGAGGGAGGUAGAAUUUCCUGUGUAGCGGUGAAAUGCGUAGAUAUAGGAAGGAAUACCAGUGGCGAAGGCGGGUCUCUGGGCAGUAACUGACGCUGAGGAGCGAAAGCGUGGGGAGCGAACAGG
Molecule: ribosomal RNA, 253 nt
Filed under: uncultured bacterium
Lineage: Bacteria
Description: partial 16S ribosomal RNA
Rfam family: Bacterial small subunit ribosomal RNA
Source: RNAcentral